RNAcentral lists this long non-coding RNA (961 nucleotides) under Pan paniscus (pygmy chimpanzee). RNAcentral describes it as "lncRNA (ENSPPAG00000045222.1)". Lineage: Eukaryota; Metazoa; Chordata; Mammalia; Primates; Hominidae. The record is from RNAcentral.
GACCUCUUCAAAUAUUGUAGCUCUCUAUUUUGCUUGUGUCGACCUUGAAUGAUCAAGACUUUCUGUGUUGCUUCCCUGCCUUUGCUAUGCUGAGAUACAGAAAACUUCGUUAGACUCUAUACUAUACGUCUGGAAGCAAUGUAAAGCAGCAAUGCUUCAGGUAUCUCUUAACAGUGGUGUGCCACGCCCAACAAUCUUUCCAAUCUGCAGAGAGACCAGAGCCAGUGAGAAUGGAGCACUUGAUGGAUUGACUGUUGAUUCGUUGCUUUCCUGAUUCACCAUUCCGGUUAUCAGGCAGCCCCCACGCCCACACCGACCUCUACUGAUCGGAGGAAACUUCCUCCCUCGCUUCAAGCGGAGCCACCUGCUACAGCAGACCUGCAGGAUGACAGAUCGAAAACAUGGAGACUCACCGUUUCGCAGCAUCGAAAUGGGCUGCAAGCGGGACAUAUGUCUUGGAAAGCGGGCGGCGAGUGGGAGAGACGACGGAGGCGCCUCAGUACCCGCGACGGUCUCGGCCCUACGCCCUCAAGCACCCCGACUUUAUGGAAUCUUCCAGGUACUGACCUGCAGGGAUUCGGGACAAUUUCCUUCUCCUCUUCCUUUUUCCCUCCGCCGCAGGCCGGCCCGCCCUCAGGGCAGUGGGGAGCUGGUACUCAGACGGGAACAACGACCAGGACAAGAAGGACUUCUGCACACGUCAGCUCUUGGUCACGUGAGAGCUACGUCAUCCACCAACUCGGGUCCCCAAUUUCCCCUCCCACCAGCAGUGCGGCAGAAGAGGGCCCGCCCCCCCUCCUUUCCCUCCCCCACACCAGGCCUUAUUACUCUUUCUUCUUCGAUAAUCUCAUCACCUUGUAGUUGUGUUUGCCUUCCACCGAUUACCAGAAAGGGACGGCAUCUUCCCCUGGGGCUAUGGGCCACUUGUACUUUUAUGAAAAAUUGCCUCUUCCUUCCCUAG